Molecule: long non-coding RNA, 2119 nt
Organism: Xyrauchen texanus (razorback sucker)
Lineage: Eukaryota; Metazoa; Chordata; Actinopteri; Cypriniformes; Catostomidae
Exons: 3
Source: RefSeq, a predicted model, not a curated record
UCAGGUUCUGGCGCUGGGGUUCCGAAACUGGGGUUCUGAAACUGGUGGUGCUGCGGGUCUGCAGCUGGAUACUAUUGGGCGCUGGGGUUCUGAAACUGGUGGUGCUGCGGGUCUGCAGCUGGAUACUAUUGGCACUUCGUGGUUCCGUCAGCCGAGUCCUGACAGCACCGUCAUCUCUUUAUCUCUCUAGAAUGGAGUUGGGCAAUACGUCUCCAGCUCACUCAAUGAAGGUAUUCGGUUCGGUCUGGAAGUCACGGAAGAGGAGAGGAAGAAAUUUGAGGGUGAGUAUAAAUUAAAGUGUUGACCACUAUUUAACUCAACCAAAUAAUUAACGACACAUAACCUUGAACUUAAAACUAAGGCCGACAGAAGAAAAAAAAAAUCAGUUAUGACAAUUUCUGUCACAAAUAAAACGACUUUAUUCGUCAAAUAAGAGAGAGACGCUGAAACGAAAGGGCUGUUUCAUUGCACUUUGGUGUUUUGUGCUGGCAAGUGGGCCCCAUGAAGGUUAUGUUUGGUAUGCCUAUGCUUAUCUAGCCAUUUUAGUAUAUUUACAACUGUAUGUCUUAAUAUACACAAGGCAAUACAUUUCUACUUUAUUUCAUAGUCUUGUAAAGUGGUUAUACACGUUAGAGAGAGUGUGUGAGAGUGUGUGUGUGUGAGAGUGAGAGUGAGUGUGUGUGUGUGUGUGUGUGUGUGUGUGUGUGUGUGUGUGUGUGUGUGUGUGUGUGUGUGUGUGUGUGUGCGUGUGAGUGAGUGAAUUUUUGAAAUUCCCAAGUUCCCUUUAGAUGUUCAGACUAAGCUGGACAGAAAAGAAUGCAAUAUUUCUGCAUCAGAUCGAAUCAAAAAUCAUAAGAACACUGUAUGAAAGUAUUGCUCAGUUUAAGAUGCAAAUUCUUAAUAAUGGUGCCAAAGUAUUAAAGUUUUACACUAAAUUUGGUAUUUAAAUCACAUAUAAUGCUAAACUAACAUUCAAAUAUUUUUACAGGUAUCCAUCUAAUAAUUUCUGGUGACACGGUGAUAUGAGUUGUUCAUAUGAUAUAAGGGGAAUAUACACAGCAAAAACAGCCCAAAACAAAGAUGUCGUUGGAUUUUGAUGUGAGAGGAGAAGAGGAUGCCAUGUUGGAUGGCAUGAGGGUGACUAAACCAUAAGAGAAUUUGCAUUUUUAGUUAUUGAUUUCAAAGCAGCUCUCCUGAUGUUGCCAUCCUUGUUCAGGGAGAAACUUGAAAAUGUCAUCGUGCUUGGGGAGGUGCAUAUAUGGACCACUGUUUGUAUAUACAUUUUAUAAUGAAUCACCAUCGCCAUAUCCAACUCUUUAGCUACAAGAGGUCACUGACUGGAAGUCUGUGUUUACACGAAAAGUCACUGCAGUGGUCAGCGCUGAUGGGUUGGAGAUCUGCAGGGCUAGCGGUGUGGAUUGAGGGGCUCUUGCUGCAUUUUGUUCUUACUUUAUCUUCAACCUCGCAUAUCCAUCUCACUUAAAGAAUACUCUGAUAUUUCUUCAGCGGUAUGUUCUGAAACUUGCUUUGGAUGGUGACAAGCCUCUGCCUACUCCUGUGACCAGAGUCAUUAACCACUAUAAUAAGAUCUACCAAAAAUGCCUCACCCAUUCUGUUGUCCAAAAUGUUCUCGGAGAGCAUUCACACGUGUUAAAUUUAUCCAACACAUAGGUCUUGUUCAUGCAAAUGAGCAACAUUUUCAGUAAUUAUUUUUCAUAUUGUGUGAAAUGUGAGGAAGACUGGACUGUUCUCACUAGGUGAGGAGGCUGAUUACCAGGCACAACAUAUGUUGCUGAUGACAAAUUGGUUGUUAGCAGUUGGUAUUCCUGCUGAAAAAAAAAAAAAAACUGCACCAUACUGUAACCCUAAAAAGGUGCAGUACAUGUAUUAAUGUAGCCUUUUUUUUUUGUCCCAAAUUUGGAAUGCCAAUGUGCUCCAAGUCCUCAUGGUGGCGUAGUGACUUGCCUCAAUCCGCUUUAUAUUGUAUUGUAUGUAGUGUAUUUGCUGUUUAAUGUAUGUUAUAAUUCUUAUUAAUCCACACCUGCUGUUGAGAGAUGUGCAAAGUUAUGAACUUAAUGUAGUUCUUUUUGUAAAGAGAUAUAUACAUAAAAUUGAAUAU